AUGAACGCUGGCGGCGUGCCUCAUACAUGCAAGUCGAGCGAACAGACGAGGAGCUUGCUCCUCUGACGUUAGCGGCGGACGGGUGAGUAACACGUGGAUAACCUACCUAUAAGACUGGGAUAACUUCGGGAAACCGGAGCUAAUACCGGAUAAUAUAUUGAACCGCAUGGUUCAAUAGUGAAAGACGGUUUUGCUGUCACUUAUAGAUGGAUCCGCGCCGCAUUAGCUAGUUGGUAAGGUAACGGCUUACCAAGGCAACGAUGCGUAGCCGACCUGAGAGGGUGAUCGGGCACACUGGAACUGAGACACGGUCCAGACUCCUACGGGAGGCAGCAGUAGGGAAUCUUCCGCAAUGGGCGAAAGCCUGACGGAGCAACGCCGCGUGAGUGAUGAAGGUCUUCGGAUCGUAAAACUCUGUUAUUAGGGAAGAACAAAUGUGUAAGUAACUAUGCACGUCUUGACGGUACCUAAUCAGAAAGCCACGGCUAACUACGUG
This 496-nucleotide ribosomal RNA is filed under the name uncultured bacterium. RNAcentral describes it as "partial 16S ribosomal RNA". It matches the Rfam family "Bacterial small subunit ribosomal RNA", at positions 29 to 507 of the family's 1533-position model. The record is from RNAcentral.